This 323-nucleotide ribosomal RNA is filed under the name uncultured bacterium. RNAcentral describes it as "bacterial SSU rRNA". It matches the Rfam family "Bacterial small subunit ribosomal RNA", at positions 32 to 333 of the family's 1533-position model. The record is from RNAcentral.
AAUCAACGCUGGCGGCGUGCCUCAGACAUGCAAGUCGAACGCUGCUGUUCGCCUUCGGGUGGACAGCGGAGUGGCGCACGGGUGAGUAACACGUAGGUAAUCUACCUUUGGGUGGGGAAUAACAGCCGGAAACGGCUGCUAAUACCGCAUAAUGCAGCGGCAUCACAUGAUGACAGUUGUUAAAGCGGGGGAUCGUAAGACCUCGCGCCUGAAGAGGAGCCUGCGGCAGAUUAGGUAGUUGGUGAGGUAAUGGCUCACCAAGCCUGCGAUCUGUAACCGGCCUGAGAGGGCGGUCGGUCACACUGACACUGACAUACGGGUCA